AGCUUUGCGCAAUGGCAGUAUCGUAGCCAAUGAGGUUUAUCCAAGGCAUGAUUAUUGCUAAUUGAAAACUUUUCCCAAUACCUCGACAUGACGACUUGAAAUAUAGUCGGCACUGGCAAUUUUUGACAGUCUCUAAGGAGA
Molecule: small nuclear RNA, 141 nt
Filed under: Cebus imitator (Panamanian white-faced capuchin)
Lineage: Eukaryota; Metazoa; Chordata; Mammalia; Primates; Cebidae
Description: U4 spliceosomal RNA (ENSCCAG00000008223.1)
Rfam family: U4 spliceosomal RNA
About the family: U4 small nuclear RNA (U4 snRNA) is a component of the major U2-dependent spliceosome.
Source: Rfam by way of RNAcentral